GAGUUAGGUAAAUCCGGCUCUUUCUAAGGCUGAGACACGACGUCGAGCAUCUACGGAUGUGAAGUCAUUGAUGCCAUGCUUCCAGGAAAAGCCUCUAAGCUUCAGAUUGUAAGGAAUCGUACCCCAAACCGACACAGGUGGUCGGGUAGAGAAUACCAAGGCGCUUGAGAGAACUCGGGUGAAGGAACUAGGCAAAAUGGUACCGUAACUUCGGGAGAAGGUACGCUCUCGACGGUGAAGUCCCUCGCGGAUGGAGCUAUUGAGAGUCGCAGAUACCAGGUGGCUGCAACUGUUUAUUAAAAACACAGCACUGUGCAAAAUCGCAAGAUGACGUAUACGGUGUGACGCCUGCCCGGUGCCGGAAGGUUAAUUGAUGGGGUUAGACUUCGGUCGAAGCUCUUGAUCGAAGCCCCGGUAAACGGCGGCCGUAACUAUAACGGUCCUAAGGUAGCGAAAUUCCUUGUCGGGUAAGUUCCGACCUGCACGAAUGGCGUAAUGAUGGCCACGCUGUCUCCACCCGAGACUCAGUGAAAUUGAAAUCGCUGUGAAGAUGCAGUGUACCCGCGGCUAGACGGAAAGACCCCGUGAACCUUUACUACAGCUUGGCACUGAACAUUGACCCUACAUGUGUAGGAUAGGUGGGAGGCUUUGAAGCGCAGUCGCUAGAUUGCGUGGAGCCGUCCUUGAAAUACCACCCUUGUAGUGUUGAUGUUCUAACGUCGACCCCUUAUCGGGGUUGCGGACAGUGCCUGGUGGGUAGUUUGACUGGGGCGGUCUCCUCCCAAAGCGUAACGGAGGAGCACGAAGGUGGGCUAAUCACGGUUGGACAUCGUGAGGUUAGUGCAAUGGCAUAAGCCCGCUUGACUGCGAGAAUGACAAUUCGAGCAGGUGCGAAAGCAGGUCAUAGUGAUCCGGUGGUUCUGAAUGGAAGGGCCAUCGCUCAACGGAUAAAAGGUACUCCGGGGAUAACAGGCUGAUACCGCCCAAGAGUUCAUAUCGACGGCGGUGUUUGGCACCUCGAUGUCGGCUCAUCACAUCCUGGGGCUGAAGUCGGUCCCAAGGGUAUGGCUGUUCGCCAUUUAAAGUGGUACGCGAGCUGGGUUUAGAACGUCGUGAGACAGUUCGGUCCCUAUCUGCCGUGGGCGUUGGAGAAUUGAAAGGGGCUGCUCCUAGUACGAGAGGACCGGAGUGGACGAACCUCUGGUGUUCGGGUUGUGUCGCCAGACGCAUUGCCCGGUAGCUAAGUUCGGGAUCGAUAACCGCUGAAAGCAUCUAAGCGGGAAGCGAGCCUUGAGAUGAGUUCUCCCUGAUACUUUAAGUAUCCUAAAGGGUUGUCGUAGACUACGACGUUGAUAGGCAGGGUGUGUAAGCGUUGUGAGGCGUUGAGCUAACCUGUACUAAUUGCCCGUGAGGCUUAACCAU
RNAcentral lists this ribosomal RNA (1422 nucleotides) under Vibrio alginolyticus. RNAcentral describes it as "partial 23S ribosomal RNA". It matches the Rfam family "Bacterial large subunit ribosomal RNA", at positions 1529 to 2925 of the family's 2925-position model. The record is from RNAcentral. Lineage: Bacteria; Pseudomonadati; Pseudomonadota; Gammaproteobacteria; Vibrionales; Vibrionaceae.